Molecule: long non-coding RNA, 276 nt
Organism: Hyla sarda
Lineage: Eukaryota; Metazoa; Chordata; Amphibia; Anura; Hylidae
Exons: 3
Source: RefSeq, a predicted model, not a curated record
AUUAGCGUCUGUAGCAUGUAUAAGGGACAUGUUAUCAUACCUGUGUCUUUUUAUAGGUGAUUAAUGCCCGGUGAGAGGGUGAAAGGGACCUAUACCCCCGUCAGCUGCAGGAAAGGAACAAAGAGACAGGUGAUUAAUGCCCGGUGAGAGGGUGAAAGGGACCUAUACCCCCGUCAGCUGCAGGAAAGGAACAAAGAGACAGGUGAUUAAUGCCCGGUGAGAGGGUGAAAGGGACCUAUACCCCCGUCAGCUGCAGGAAAGGAACAAAGAGACAGG